UACGAAGGGGGCUAGCGUCGUUCGGAAUUACUGGGCGUAAAGCGCACGUAGGCGGACAUUUAAGUCAGGGGUGAAAUCCCAGAGCUCAACUCUGGAACUGCCUUUGAUACUGGGUGUCUUGAGUAUGGAAGAGGUGAGUGGAAUUCCGAGUGUAGAGGUGAAAUUCGUAGAUAUUCGGAGGAACACCAGUGGCGAAGGCGGCUCACUGGUCCAUUACUGACGCUGAGGUGCGAAAGCGUGGGGAGCAAACAGG
This 253-nucleotide ribosomal RNA is filed under the name uncultured bacterium. Its description in RNAcentral is "partial 16S ribosomal RNA". It matches the Rfam family "Bacterial small subunit ribosomal RNA", at positions 524 to 776 of the family's 1533-position model. The record is from RNAcentral.